AAUCCGGAACUAAUUAUAAUAACCCUGCCUUUUCUAGAAGUAGUAACGAACAUGUAUUAGCCUAGGAGCAGAAAAAGCUGCCGCCUGAUGUAACGUGUGUGCGUGUUGGAGGAGCCCAGACUCCCCGCGGUCAACUCUUAACCACUAAGUCCCUUGUCAGGUUAUUUCUAUUAGCAAUAAGGAGCAAUGGAACCUUAAACAUUGAAACCAGGUUGAUGAGCCUAUUCCACAAGGUCUCAUGACUCCACACAUGUGAAGUGAAAUCUGCCAGGUAGGGAUCAUUUGACCUUUGCUAUAAAGGAAGCAUGAGGAGUUAUGGGAAGAAUUGCCACUCCAGGGGAGUGUGAGGUUCAGGUUACUUAGGGUGCUUUUCUACUGUCCUGGUGAAAUGGACUCAGUGUUCCCAAGUAGGCUGCUUUUUCUUUGUGUUUUCUACAAUCUCUGUGAAAUAGUUUUGGAGACUCUAUGAGCUAGUAACAUCAGUGGUGACUACUCAGAAAAUGGAAAACUCUGGUGGUGCUACUUCCCUGUGAAGUUGUUCGGCAGUGAGUCAAGUUCAGAAGCUGGCAGUGAACUUAGAUGGAUUCUCAGCUGGUCUCCAGUCCUGGUCCCCGCUCCUGGUCCCCCCCAAGAAUUUGCUCCAAUACCUUCCCAGGGACAGAGUCUUCAGGCACGUCUCCUGUUCUCCAGGACCUUUCAAAGAUGAUAGAGUGGUUUGGCGAUCACCUCGGCCAGUUCCCUCAGCACACAUGGAUGCAUCCCAUCGGGGCCCAUGGAUUUGUGUGUGUUAAAAUGUUCAAGUGUUCUUCAAGUACGUUAAAGUGUUCAAGUUCUUCAAGUCUUCAAGAGCAACGACUGUUUAAAUUAAAGUGGUUUGAGUUAAAUGCUGCAUACAUGCUGUGCCAUCUCAGGCAUGGCCUGAUGUUCCAUUUCCCUGACUCUUGUGUGGGAUUGUAUUCUUUGGCAGGACAGACAGCUUAUACUUUGGGGGCUAAGUCUUAAACUGCUGCAGUAAAUUAACUAGACUUUGACUAGUAUAAUUAUUAUUUAAUGAGUGUCCCCGACUCACUACGUCACGAUUUUGUGUGUUGAAUUCUGAGGUCUGAAGCCUGUAAUGUCUGUUAAAAUGAAAGCAGAAUAGCAGGUGUUCCGCAUCAUAUACAGUAUCUGUAUGAAUCAGAUGUUUGACAAACUACUCAAUGCUGGUCAUAAAGUUUGUAAGUCUGGCCCAACAGGUGCCUCACUGGUAUAAGUAGAUUUUCUGACUGAGAUUACACCUGAUAAUUCAUUAUCUGAUCAGUUUUCUUUUCUGAGUUACUUCACAAUUUUGAUAAUUAAGAAAUGGGAAUUACCAGUUCUAUGUGUCUGACGAUAUAACAUUUGCUACAGAUGCGUGUUUUCAUCAAAACGUCUUGGAAUCUGUCUUUGAAUUGAGCACAGGGCAUGGGCAUGAAUGCGUCUUUCCUGCUUUCAGCUGUAAUUGCAUAUUAUAGCUGUAUCAGCAUACAUUUUUAAAAUUGGACUUGAAUAAGGACUUAGCUAAUUUUUGAGGGAUGUCUGCUGGUAAAGCAGACCUCUUCUAGCAAUACUGUGAGAUAUGGUACACCACACUGCAGGUUUCAGAUAAUGAAGUUGCAGCCAAUUAUGUCCAAAAUGGAAAUUCUCAUUUCCAUAAAGUAAUACCUAUUUAAAAAGUAGCCUUCAUUCCUGCUAUUGGCCUUUUACUUGUCUUUUAACUACAGGGUGCAACUAUAUGAAAGUUGGCAUGACUAAAACAUUUUCCUAUACUUGAAUCAAAAGAUAGCUGCUUCAUAUUUUUUGUGUGUAUGUAUACUCAAUGUGACCAUAAAUACCACUCAUGAAUGGUUCUUCCAAAUUACAUCAUUUCAGAAUAUUUUUUGAUGUGAUAUAAUGUCCUAAUAUCAGUGGCAAUCAUCUGACAUGACAGAACCUGGUAGUAGAAUCAAGGCUUAUCUAAAGUGAAUCAUAAUUAUGGUCACAUUUGCUAGUUAUAUAACUAAACACAUUAUUUAUUUUUAGAAAAUAUGCAAGACAAUCAUUAAAAAUAAAUAAAAUAUGCAAUUAAGGCUCCACUCAAAGUCAUCAUCCCAAGCCCAUGCUGUUCACAAAUUCACAACUAUUUGGCCCCAGCUCUGCAAACUCACCAGCUCUACACCAUACUUCAAGUAGGAGAACACCCCUGUUGGAUGUAGAGCAUGUUGCAGUCAUGAUUUUGCAAAGCAGUCCUCAGGGCACAAUGAGGAGGUUGUGUUCAUCACUGGGAUUUAAAAAGUAUUUUUGUUUUUAGCACAAAUAGCUUUGUCUCGAGAGAAUUCUCAAAAAAUAAAUACUAUAUUUCCAUAUUAAUGAGAAUGUGCUUACAUAUUUAACACUUCACGUUUUAUUCAAUUUUUAAUACUCUUAUCCAGUGGUCUGUACGCACGUACUUAAGCAAUGACAAAUAUAACAGAGCAUGCACAAAUUAAGAAUGCUUUGUUAUUAAGAGCAACAAACAUCCCCAUCUUUUCAGUAACUAUCUUUUCUUAAUCAAUGUCCCAUUCUUGAAAAGCGGAUGCCUUGCACCAUUCCCACACGGAGCCAAGUACUGAAUUACAUGUGUUAACGGAAGAAUAAGGCUGCCAAAUAACAAAAGAAGCAAAUGAAUGUCAUGAAAGGUCAUUUAAAAAAAAAAAAAGUUAGAUAUUCCAGCAAUCAGACCUCUCGUGAACAUGAAAAAAUUCUGGGAUUCCUGAGGGUAAAUUAGUUUUAGAAACUAGCAAAAAAAUAAAGAGAAAUACACAUUCAAAAAAAAAAAAAAAAGUAGGGAGCUUUGAAUUUGCUACCUACACUAUAAAUACUAGGAUGUCAAACUAUCUAUUAAAGGGAUUUUAAUUAGAAAUAAGCACCAAGUGGUACUUCUAAAAGUGUUUUUCUUUCAGGAUUUUUUUUUUUAAUUAAACUUCUAUUUUUCUUUAGUUAACCAUUUUGAUUUCAGUGUUUAUUUGGUACUUUGGAGCACUUUUAAUUAGCUGGCUUUCUGCACCAUUUCAGUAACAUUUCCCAAAUCUUUCAGGAAGUAAUGCGUCUCUACUUUCUUUCCCCAUGCAUGCUGUUUACCCAUACUGUUGCUGUCUGGUGUGUAAGACUUCCCAGCAUCAUGUA
Anas platyrhynchos (mallard) is the source of this 3162-nucleotide long non-coding RNA. RefSeq lists it as uncharacterized. The record is from RefSeq and is a predicted model, not a curated record. NCBI's taxonomy places the organism in Eukaryota, Metazoa, Chordata, Aves, Anseriformes, Anatidae.